UACGAAGGGGGCUAGCGUUGCUCGGAAUCACUGGGCGUAAAGGGUGCGUAGGCGGGUCUUUAAGUCAGGGGUGAAAUCCUGGAGCUCAACUCCAGAACUGCCUUUGAUACUGAGGAUCUUGAGUUCGGGAGAGGUGAGUGGAACUGCGAGUGUAGAGGUGAAAUUCGUAGAUAUUCGCAAGAACACCAGUGGCGAAGGCGGCUCACUGGCCCGAUACUGCCGCUGAGGCGCGAAAGCGUGGGGAGCAAACAGG
Molecule: ribosomal RNA, 253 nt
Filed under: uncultured bacterium
Lineage: Bacteria
Description: partial 16S ribosomal RNA
Rfam family: Bacterial small subunit ribosomal RNA
Source: RNAcentral